This is a long non-coding RNA of Pocillopora damicornis (cauliflower coral), 1238 nucleotides long. The record is from RefSeq and is a predicted model, not a curated record. Lineage: Eukaryota; Metazoa; Cnidaria; Anthozoa; Scleractinia; Pocilloporidae.
GAUAAUUGUAUUGAUAUUGUAAGGAGAAAUUCCGUCUUGGUCACUCAUGGGAGUUGAAGGGCUAAUCCCUCAGUUUACUUGAGGAUGAAGUGGCCUUUUCAAGAGAAAAUGUAAAAAGUGAAAAAGAAGUUUUGGAUAUGCACUGGUAAUGAGGUAGAAGAAGUUGACAUUGUCAGAGCUUGAAAGAGUUGAAGAGUUUUGACUGAUAACACUUCCUUUUUAAAUUCAUUGAAUCUCUUCAAGUGAAACUAUCUACGAAUGAAGAGACUGAGACAAACCAUGUUCUAAACUUGCAACCAAGCCAAAGUUUAAAGUGCUCAUCUAGCACUGUUUGCUGAGAAAUCUUUGUUAGGAAAUACACGGGAGUUAACAAUGAACAGUUAUACCUGUAGUUGUCAAUGAAAAAAUGGGUUGUGUCCUCUUGUACCAGUACACAAAGGAAUGAAACAUUAACGAACUACGUCAAGACUCCAUGUAUGGAUAUGAAAACAAUAGGAAUUCCCCCGUGUACCGGUACAUCAGGACAGCCCCCAAAAAUGCAAGUCAUGCUUAUUAUUUUGUGCUGAUUUAACAAACUGGGAACAGUUUUUGCCUCCAAGCAGUCCAUGUGAUUGGAUUUUGUCACAAUUAUUUGUAAGAGAAUCGUGUCAUACCUACAGCAGUUUUAUAAAAAUCAUGGACAACUGGAAAAAUAUGACAGCAUUCUGAGAUAAGUUAAAAAAACUUGACAGCAGUUCGUAGCCAGAAUAAUUUUUGAAUAAUUGAACCAUUUUAUCAUUUGACCAUCCUUUCUUUCUCUUUUUACCUCUCUUCUUCCAUUCUGCCUCCUGCCGAGGGCCAUACACUGGACCAUGCACCAUUUACUGGUCUUUGUUUGCACCUUCACCUAUGGCCCAUGUGCGCCUUUCUUUUAUGUUUUUCACUAAAGCAUGCACCAGGCCCCACCAGGCCUCGAUAUAUGUUUCACCCUGUCCUCCCUUCAGGUGUCCAAUCAGUGUAUGGCAUUAGUUGGUGACAACUGCCUGGUACCUACCAUAGAUGAACCAGGUCUUGGCUACAUGCCGAAAUCUUCAAGUGAUCAUUAUGUCUCGGAUGUUUUCUAUAAGACUACUGACUUGUACAGUAAUGAAGUGACUCUUUGGCUUGCCCAAUGCCUAUAGAAUAUCUGUUAGUUCAGAACCUCAGGUUACUUUCUCCAACCAAAGUCAGGGAGAACCUUUCCACUAGAGAAGGUCAAG